AUUGAACGCUGGCGGCAGGCCUAACACAUGCAAGUCGAACGGUAACAGGAAGCAGCUUGCUGCUUCGCUGACGAGUGGCGGACGGGUGAGUAAUGUCUGGGAAGCUGCCUGAUGGAGGGGGAUAACUACUGGAAACGGUAGCUAAUACCGCAUAAUGUCGCAAGACCAAAGAGGGGGACCUUCGGGCCUCUUGCCAUCGGAUGUGCCCAGAUGGGAUUAGCUUGUUGGUGGGGUAACGGCUCACCAAGGCGACGAUCCCUAGCUGGUCUGAGAGGAUGACCAGCCACACUGGAACUGAGACACGGUCCAGACUCCUACGGGAGGCAGCAGUGGGGAAUAUUGUACAAUGGGCGCAAGCCUGAUGCAGCCAUGCCGCGUGUAUGAAGAAGGCCUUCGGGUUGUAAAGUACUUUCAGCGGGGAGGAAGGGAGUAAAGUUAAUACCUUUGCUCAUUGACGUUACCCGCAGAAGAAGCACCGGCUAACUCCGUG
This 490-nucleotide ribosomal RNA is filed under the name uncultured bacterium. RNAcentral describes it as "partial 16S ribosomal RNA". It matches the Rfam family "Bacterial small subunit ribosomal RNA", at positions 30 to 507 of the family's 1533-position model. The record is from RNAcentral.